AACGAACGCUGGCGGCAUGCCUAACACAUGCAAGUCGAACGGGACCUCCGUGUCUAGUGGCGCACGGCUGCGUACCGCGUGGUAACCUGCCCUUAGGUUCGGAAUACCUCCCCUUAAGGGGUCCUAAUACCGGAUAAUGUCUUCUGACCAAAGAUUUAUCGCCUGUGGAUGGGCCUGCGUUGGAUUAGCGAGUUGGUAGUGUAAAAGCCUACAAAGGCGACGAUCCUUAGCUGGUCUGAGAGCAUGAUCAGCCACACUGGGACAGAGACACGGCGCAGACGCGUAGCAGAGGUAGCAGUGGGGACUAAGGGACAAGGAGCGAAAGGCUGAUACAGCAAGGGCGGGAGAGUGAUGAAGGGGUUAGGAACGUAAAGCUCUUUUACCCGGGAGGAUAAGGACAUUACCGGGAGAAUAGGCCCGGCCUAACUCGGU
RNAcentral lists this ribosomal RNA (432 nucleotides) under uncultured bacterium. RNAcentral describes it as "partial 16S ribosomal RNA". It matches the Rfam family "Bacterial small subunit ribosomal RNA", at positions 29 to 506 of the family's 1533-position model. The record is from RNAcentral.